AUAUUUGACAAAUAUCUUUGUCAAGUAAUGACAAGUUGCAUGGACAACCACCAUUUCUCAAGUUUUUUUCCAAAGUUUUCCCAAAUGUGAAGCAUGUACUGUAGUUGAGAAAAAUACUAAUGUGGUUGAUUAAGAAAACUUACAAGACACAAAUGUGAUUGACAAUGAAGGAUUGUUUCAUGUUGCUAAAUAUGAAAAUGUUAAUGUUUGAAGUUGGGCCAAGUGAUAUCUCAGAUCUAGAAGGGGAAUGAGCUGAAUCAAAUUAAGAAAGCAAUACCGACUCUCAAGAGGAUACUAUUCCUAAUGAGGAUGACUAUGAAGUUGGUGAAGAGUUGGGAUCUCUUAGAAAUGAAAGGAAAUACAAAUAAAAAAAGAAGAAAUUUGUUCUAACUGAGGAAAUAAGGCUUGAUAUUGAUAGAUGAAAAAGAAGAAAUCUAUUCAAACUGAGGAAAUAAGGCUUGGAACAACUGAUAUUGAUAGAGGAUUUAUAGACAUAUGAAGGAAUAAGGUUGUUAGAUACAAUUGAAGAUUAGGAGGG
RNAcentral lists this long non-coding RNA (538 nucleotides) under Solanum tuberosum (potato). RNAcentral describes it as "long non-coding RNA (STUB_LNC005849)". The record is from RNAcentral. Lineage: Eukaryota; Viridiplantae; Streptophyta; Magnoliopsida; Solanales; Solanaceae.